GAUGAACGCUGGCGGCGUGCCUAAUACAUGCAAGUCGAGCGAACAGACGAGGAGCUUGCUCCUCUGACGUUAGCGGCGGACGGGUGAGUAACACGUGGAUAACCUACCUAUAAGACUGGGAUAACUUCGGGAAACCGGAGCUAAUACCGGAUAAUAUAUUGAACCGCAGUGUUCAAUAGUGAAAGACGGUUUUGUUGGCACUUAUAGAUGGAUCCGCGCCGCAUUAGCUAGUUGGUAAGGUAACGGCUUACCAAGGCAACGAUGCGUAACCGACCUGAGGGGGUGAUAGGCCACACUGGAACUGAGACACGGUCCAGACUCCUACGGUAGGCAGCAGUAGGGAAUCUUCCGCAAAGGGCGAAAGCCUGACGGAGCAACGCCGCGUGAGUGAUGAAGGUCUUCGGAUCGUAAAACUCUGUUAUUAGGGAAGAACAAAUGUGUAAGUAACUAUGCACGUCUUGACGGUACCUAAUCAGAAAGCCACGGCUAACUACGUG
RNAcentral lists this ribosomal RNA (497 nucleotides) under uncultured bacterium. RNAcentral's name for it is "partial 16S ribosomal RNA". It matches the Rfam family "Bacterial small subunit ribosomal RNA", at positions 28 to 507 of the family's 1533-position model. The record is from RNAcentral.